Molecule: ribosomal RNA, 417 nt
Filed under: uncultured bacterium
Lineage: Bacteria
Description: partial 16S ribosomal RNA
Rfam family: Bacterial small subunit ribosomal RNA
Source: RNAcentral
AAUAUUGGACAAUGGGUGAGAGCCUGAUCCAGCCAUCCCGCGUGCAGGAAGAAUGCCUUAUGGGUNGUAAACUGCUUUUAUACAGGNAUAAACCACUUUACGUGUAAGGUGUUGAAGUUACUGUAUGAAUAAGCAUCGGCUAACUCCGUGCCAGCAGCCGCGGUAAUACGGAGGGUGCAAGAGUUAUCCGGAUUUAUUGGGUUUAAAGGGUCCGUAGGAGGACAUAGAAGUCGGAGGUGAAAUCCGACAGCUUAACUGUCGAACUGCCUUUGGAACUGUAUGUCGUGAGUGAGAUUGAAGCAGAUGGAAUGUGUAGUGUAGCGGUGAAAUGCAUAGAUAUUACACAGAGCACCGAUAGCGUAGGCAGGUUGCUAAGUCUUUACUGACGCUGAUGGACGAGAGAGUGGGGAGCAAACA